RNAcentral lists this transfer RNA (74 nucleotides) under Chlamydiota bacterium. RNAcentral describes it as "Chlamydiae bacterium (freshwater metagenome) tRNA-Arg". It matches the Rfam family "tRNA". From Rfam's summary of the family: Transfer RNA (tRNA) molecules are approximately 80 nucleotides in length. Their secondary structure includes four short double-helical elements and three loops (D, anti-codon, and T loops). The record is from RNAcentral. Lineage: Bacteria; Pseudomonadati; Chlamydiota.
GCAUCGAUAGCUCAACUGGAUAGAGCACCCGGCUUCGGACCGGGCGGUUAGGGGUUCGAAUCCCUUUCGGUGCG